AUUCAGAAUAAGGCUUGCCAUAGAGUGAGUAAUCAGAAAUGAGAGCUUGUAGCAUCAUGACAUUUGUUAUAUGCAAAGCACCAUUCUUAUGUUAAUUAAUGCAUGUAAUCCUCUCAACAUUGCAGUGGGACUAUUAAUAUCCCAACUUUAGAGGUGAGAAAACACAUACAGAGAAGUUUUACCACUUGUCUAGGGUCCGGUCACUAGCAAGUGGCUGAGCUUGAAUUCCCUGGGGGCUGGGCCCUAGCUCUUUGCUCCUUACCAUUCUGCCAUAGCACAUAUUUGUUAAACAAAGCUGGUAUCUUUAGGGUUUCUGGAAAAGAAAAACAAGUGGCCCACUGUGAGUGCCUGGGCCCCAGGGAGGGGGAUGAUGAGGGCUGGAGAGGAGGAAGAAGGGAACUUGCUUCUUCAUCUUUUGGAGGAGAGGGAAUAAAUGGAGACCUUGUGGGUGGGGAAAACUUGGGUGGACUUACUUGUUGGUGGAGAGGCUGGAGGUGAGACAUCCAUGGCCGGCUCAUGGCUCAAGUAGCACCCAGAGUCCGACAGACAGAGAGAAGGGUCUAAGCCACCUGGGUCUGGAGGGUUGCCUCUGCUCCUCAGCUAUCUAAGCGUUGAGGGUUUAGAACUGGUAGCUUGUCUGAGAUGUCACCUGCAAUAGUGUACGCCUCCUCCAGCCCUCCACAGCUGAGAGAGCAGUCAAAUGUCUUGAUUACUGCUGCUCCCCUGGCUUCUCCCAUAAAUAGUCACCACAUCAUACAGACAGAAGGGUCCCAGACAGAUGAGAAACUGCCCCGGCUCUGUUCCCAUCAGGGUUCCACCCGAGACGUUGUUGCCCUCUCUCCUCUACCCCACCUACCUUCAAAAGCCAGAGCGCCUCCCCAUCUCUGAUCUUAGAGAGUGAGGGCAGUGGGUUUGGUUUAACCCAGGCCAGGCCAGCAUGAAAUCAGAAACUGAGUCCAGGACAGACCCAUCGCGGGUGAGGGAGGGACUUCAGGGAGCAGGACCCAAGUUGAGGCUGACAGCUAGGGACAUGCCAGGUGAACCCAGAGACUGGGAUGGAAGACAAGGCAAAGCUGAGGGUCAGAAGUCAGACCAAGGCUGCAGAAACAAAUCCUCACCUCUGCCCCUCCUGAGAGCAAUCCCAGCAGAGGGUACCCAGGGGCUGGGGCUGAAUCGGGGACAUUCACCUGACACCAAGAGUUAAAGUGGACACUGCAGGAGCAAGUUGAGUCAGAAACAUGUGAGAAGCUGUGGUCUAAAAAGGGAAGUCUGAAGGGUCACCAAAGUGAAGGGGCCAGAAGUAGCCAUGGCAGCUGGGAUAUGGAGCUAGGAAUCUGAGAACCAGCAAGAUGAGAGCAAAAAUAGUAGGUCCAGGGUAAACAGGAUUGGUCUAGAACACAUGCUGCUUGUGGCUCACUCUGGUGGGCCAGCUGGGCAAGGUGGGAAUGUGGAUCUGCUAAAUUUAAAGGGCCAGAGCAGACAGCAGUGUACAGGGGACCUUGACACUGUCUCAGCCUGAGAGUCUCUUAUAAUAGCUCAGGUGGUGUCCAAAAGGGCUAGGCACGGUUUGCCCUGGACCUGGAGCCAGCCUCAGCCAGGCUGAGUGUAUGGGGGAGGGGAGGGCCAUGUUAGAGAUAAGAACAAAGCCUGGUGGGUGCUUGGGUGGAGGGACAAGUUUUGGCACUAGGGCCUUGGCACCUUAAGGCCUUCACGUUCAGGCCUGCAUGAGAAUAGGUCUGGAGGAGAGAGUAGCUGGUGAGUCACAAUCCCAGAUGUGGAGCAGAUGUUCUUGGCAGAUCUGGGCUGCUUGUCAGCAGGAUUUGACCACAGCCUGGAUCAGCUGUCAGGCUCAGGCCACCGGCCCUGUUGCAAGCACAGAGAAUGCCUAAGAACUCGCUCCUCUGCGAGUGUUCGCUGUUUGAAAUGCUUCAUAGCCCCACAGAGCCACAUUUGGGAUACUUUGCUGGCUCUUCCAGGAACAGGCCGGGACACAGUGAUGAAGCUCUGUGGAUAAAGCUGUACUAUCUCAGAGAGGCCUUGACACACAUCUGGAUUCCUACCUUCAGCUGGCUGUGGGCUGUGACCAUGUCUCUACAGGAGAGCCCAUGAAGCAAACACCGUGGGCCGGCUGCCAAGACUGGCAGAGUGAGACACAGUACUUGAAAUAAAUGCAGGGUGUUUGCUUCCAGAUUCUUCAC
Molecule: long non-coding RNA, 2198 nt
Organism: Nycticebus coucang (slow loris)
Lineage: Eukaryota; Metazoa; Chordata; Mammalia; Primates; Lorisidae
Exons: 3
Source: RefSeq, a predicted model, not a curated record